RNAcentral lists this ribosomal RNA (497 nucleotides) under uncultured bacterium. RNAcentral describes it as "partial 16S ribosomal RNA". It matches the Rfam family "Bacterial small subunit ribosomal RNA", at positions 28 to 507 of the family's 1533-position model. The record is from RNAcentral.
GAUGAACGCUGGCGGCGUGCCUAAUACAUGCAAGUCGAGCGAACAGAUGAGGAGCUUGCUCCUCUGACGUUAGCGGCGGACGGGUGAGUAACACGUGGAUAACCUACCUAUAAGACUGGGAUAACUUCGGGAAACCGGAGCUAAUACCGGAUAAUAUAUUGAACCGCAUGGUUCAAUAGUGAAAGACGGUUUUGCUGUCACUUAUAGAUGGAUCCGCGCCGCAUUAGCUAGUUGGUAAGGUAACGGCUUACCAAGGCAACGAUGCGUAGCCGACCUGAGAGGGUGGUCGGCCACACUGGAACUGAGACACGGUCCAGACUCCUACGGGAGGCAGCAGUAGGGAAUCUUCCGCAAUGGGCGAAAGCCGGACGGAGCAACGCCGCGUGAGUGAUGAAGGUCUUCUGAUCGUAGAACUCUGUUAUUAGGGAAGAACAAAUGUGUUAGUAACUAUGCACGUCUUGACGGUACCUAAUCAGAAAGCCACGGCUAACUACGUG